RNAcentral lists this ribosomal RNA (440 nucleotides) under uncultured bacterium. RNAcentral describes it as "partial 16S ribosomal RNA". It matches the Rfam family "Bacterial small subunit ribosomal RNA", at positions 338 to 795 of the family's 1533-position model. The record is from RNAcentral.
CCUACGGGAGGCAGCAGUGGGGAAUGUUGCACAAUGGGGGAAACCCUGAUGCAGCGACGCCGCGUGAGUGAAGAAGUAAUUCUUUAUUUAAAGCUCUAUCAGCAGGGGAGCAAAUGACGGUACCUGUGUAAGAAGCCCCGGCUAACUACGUGCCAGCAGCCGCGGUAAUACGUAGGGGGCAAGCGUUAUCCGGAUUGACUGGGUGUAAAGGGAGCGUAGACGGGAGUGCAGGUCUGGAGUGAAAGGGGGGGGCUCAACCCCCGGACUGCUCUGGAAACUGUACGGCUGGAGUGCAGGAGAGGUAAGUGGAAUUCGUAGGGUAGCGGUGAAAUGCGUAGAUAUUAGGAGGAACACCAGUGGCGAAGGCGGCUUACUGGACUGUAACUGACGUUGAGGCUCGAAAGCGUGGGGAGCAAACAGGAUUAGAUACCCGAGUAGUC